Molecule: transfer RNA, 60 nt
Filed under: Dipodomys ordii (Ord's kangaroo rat)
Lineage: Eukaryota; Metazoa; Chordata; Mammalia; Rodentia; Heteromyidae
Rfam family: tRNA
About the family: Transfer RNA (tRNA) molecules are approximately 80 nucleotides in length. Their secondary structure includes four short double-helical elements and three loops (D, anti-codon, and T loops).
Source: Rfam by way of RNAcentral
GUGGCUCAGUGGUAGAGUGCUUGCCUAGCAUGCAUGAGGGCCUGGGUUCGAUUCCUCAGC